RNAcentral lists this ribosomal RNA (423 nucleotides) under Triticum aestivum (bread wheat). RNAcentral describes it as "partial small subunit ribosomal RNA". Lineage: Eukaryota; Viridiplantae; Streptophyta; Magnoliopsida; Poales; Poaceae. The record is from RNAcentral.
AUGGCUUUCCACCUAAGAUCGAUAAGUUUGCCUUCUAGGCCUCACAUCAGUGAGACGGAAGUCGAACAAGAGCUGCUGAGCCUAGAGGCUAGCAUCUCUUCCUCCAUUACCAUCGGCACAAUGUGCGAGGGUCUUAUGAGGCUUGGAAACAUCUACAAUGGUGUUGAAGAAAUCAUUGGCCUACCAAGCAACCAAGUUUGCUCCGCCCAGGAGAGGAAGAUGUUGGAUGGAGAAAUGGAAGGUUCUCUCGAGCUAGUAGAUCUCUGCAGCACCAUGCAAGAGAUCUUUGUCGAGAUGAAAGCCAUUAUCCAAGAGCUGCAAGUGGCACUAAGAAAAGGAGAUGAAGAAGCUUCUCAAGCCAAGAUCCAGUCUUACACUCUCUUGACGAAGAAGGCCAAGAAACAUUUCAAGAAGACCGCAUAG